AAUGAUGAGCCUGAUUAAAGGACUAUCGUGAUAGGAUAAAACAUGUAGCUUUAAAUUCUACCUUCAUUA
Molecule: transfer RNA, 69 nt
Filed under: Astalotermes sp. E JRA-2021a
Lineage: Eukaryota; Metazoa; Arthropoda; Insecta; Blattodea; Termitidae
Description: tRNA-Ile
Source: RNAcentral